RNAcentral lists this long non-coding RNA (854 nucleotides) under Ictidomys tridecemlineatus (thirteen-lined ground squirrel). RNAcentral's name for it is "lncRNA (ENSSTOG00000030255.1)". The record is from RNAcentral. Lineage: Eukaryota; Metazoa; Chordata; Mammalia; Rodentia; Sciuridae.
GUGGUUAGCACGUGCUCUUUCCCCUUCUUCUGGUAUUUACAAAGUCAAGAGCCCUGUAAAAGUUUGGUUUCCCGUGCACUCACGCUUGUCCAUUUUCAAAUUUAUUCAUUUACAAUUCUGGAGAUCCAAACACAUACAGUAUUCUAUUCAUAAUUAAAAUCUUCACCAUUUUUCCAGGAAUGCAUUUUGAUAUUUUUGAAGUGAGUGAAGUUUACUAAAUGAGAAGGCUCAAGAGAAGACAGCAUCAUAUGAAAAAACAUGCAGACAACAACGGAAGGUUUUGUGGGAUGAUGACAUGAAAGAGGCAAGCUUCAGCAGAGUCAGCACUUGGAAUCGCUGCAGUCUUGGACAGGAGACACAAGGUGCAAGAGUGCAGAAAGAUGAGAUUGUCCUCCUGUUCUUCUCAACCCAGCAAGGCUUCCUUGCCAAAGCCUAUACUGGUUACCUCUCAACUUGUGAAGGCAGGGCAUUGUUGAAUCACAUUCCUGUAGUCUUGUUUCAACCACACCCUUGCUGUUACUUGUAGGUUGGAAUGCAGAAGCUCUAGUAGAUGGCUCAGUAGAGGCAAAGUGUCUGCUUGAGGCCAGUGGACAAGACAGAACAACACCAGUAAAUUAGGACUGCACAGUUUUAACACUUAUAAGACCUGGAGAAAAUAAUAUGAGUUAGUGAAGUGAAUUGGACAUAACUUUCCUAUGUUCAUAUAUGAAUACAUGCCACUGUAAAUCUCCACAUCAUGUAUAACCACAAGAAUGGGAUCCUAAUUAGAAUAAGUUAUAUAUAUAAGUAUGUAUAAUAUGUCAAAAGAUACUCUACUGUCAUGUGUAUCUAAAAAGAACAAAUAAAAAUUUCAA